UUAGAGUUUGAUCCUGGCUCAGGAUGAACGCUAGCGGCAGGCUUAACACAUGCAAGUCGAGGGGCAGCGAGAUCAGUGCUUGCACUGAUUGUCGGCGACCGGCGCACGGGUGCGUAACGCGUAUGCAACCUACCCAUUACAGGGGGAUAACACUGAGAAAUCGGUACUAAUACCCCAUAACAUCCAGGGAGGCAUCUUCUUGGGUUGAAAACUCCGGUGGUAAUGGAUGGGCAUGCGUUGUAUUAGUUAGUUGGUGGGGUAACGGCUCACCAAGACAACGAUACAUAGGGGGACUGAGAGGUUAACCCCCCACAUUGGUACUGAGACACGGACCAAACUCCUACGGGAGGCAGCAGUGAGGAAUAUUGGUCAAUGGACGCAAGUCUGAACCAGCCAUGCCGCGUGCAGGAAGACGGCUCUAUGAGUUGUAAACUGCUUUUGUACGAGGGUAAACGCAGAUACGCGUAUCUGUCUGAAAGUAUCGUACGAAUAAGGAUCGGCUAACUCCGUGCCAGCAGCCGCGGUAAUACGGAGGAUUCAAGCGUUAUCCGGAUUUAUUGGGUUUAAAGGGUGCGUAGGCGGUCGGAUAAGUUAGAGGUGAAAUCCCGGGGCUCAACUUCGGAAUUGCCUCUGAUACUGUUCGGCUAGAGAGUAGUUGCGGUAGGCGGAAUGUAUGGUGUAGCGGUGAAAUGCUUAGAGAUCAUACAGAACACCGAUUGCGAAGGCAGCUUACCAAGCUACUUCUGACGUUGAGGCACGAAAGCGUGGGGAGCAAACAGGAUUAGAUACCCUGGUAGUCCACGCAGUAAACGAUGAUAACUCGUUGUCGGCGAUACAGUGUCGGUGACUAAGCGAAAGCGAUAAGUUAUCCACCUGGGGAGUACGUUCGCAAGAAUGAAACUCAAAGGAAUUGACGGGGGCCCGCACAAGCGGAGGAACAUGUGGUUUAAUUCGAUGAUACGCGAGGAACCUUACCCGGGCUUGAAAGUUAGUGACGGAUCUUGAAAGAGGUCUUCCCUUCGGGGCACGAAACUAGGUGCUGCAUGGUUGUCGUCAGCUCGUGCCGUGAGGUGUCGGGUUAAGUCCCAUAACGAGCGCAACCCCUACCGUUAGUUGCCAGCAGGUCAAGCUGGGCACUCUGACGGGACUGCCGGUGUAAGCCGAGAGGAAGGUGGGGAUGACGUCAAAUCAGCACGGCCCUUACGUCCGGGGCUACACACGUGUUACAAUGGCAGGUACAGAGGGCAGCUACCUAGCGAUGGGAUGCGAAUCUCGAAAGCCUGUCUCAGUUCGGAUUGGAGGCUGAAACCCGCCUCCAUGAAGUUGGAUUCGCUAGUAAUCGCGCAUCAGCCAUGGCGCGGUAAAGACGUUCCCGGGCCUUGUACACACCGCCCG
Molecule: ribosomal RNA, 1395 nt
Filed under: uncultured bacterium
Lineage: Bacteria
Description: bacterial SSU rRNA
Rfam family: Bacterial small subunit ribosomal RNA
Source: RNAcentral